RNAcentral lists this ribosomal RNA (432 nucleotides) under uncultured bacterium. RNAcentral's name for it is "partial 16S ribosomal RNA". It matches the Rfam family "Bacterial small subunit ribosomal RNA", at positions 29 to 507 of the family's 1533-position model. The record is from RNAcentral.
ACGAACGCUGGCGGCAGGCCUAACACAUGCAAGUCGAGCGAGCAUUUCGGUGCUAGCGGCGGACGGGUGAGUAACGCGUGGGAACGUGCCCUUUUCUGCGGAAUAGUCCUGGGAAACUGGGGGUAAUACCGCAUACGCCCUUUUGGGGAAAGAUUUAUCGGAGAAGGAUCGGCCCGCGUUGGAUUAGGUAGUUGGUGGGGUAAUGGCCCACCAAGCCGACGAUCCAUAGCUGGUUUGAGGGGAUGAUCAGCCACACUGGGACUGAGACACGGCCCAGACUCCUACGGGAGGCAGCAGUGGGGAAUCUUAGACAAUGGGGGCAACCCUGAUCUAGCCAUGCCGCGUGAGUGAUGAAGGCCUUAGGGUUGUAAAGCUCUUUCAGCUGGGAAGAUAAUGACGGUACCAGCAGAAGAAGCCCCGGCUAACUCCGUG